AAAGUUUGAUCCUGGCUCAGGAUGAACGCUAGCGACAGGCUUAACACAUGCAAGUCGAGGGGCAGCGGGGAUAGCAAUACUUCGCCGGCGACCGGCGCACGGGUGAGUAACACGUGUGCAACCAACCCCGUACCGGGAGAUAACCCGCGGAAACGUGGACUAACAUCCCAUAAUACUGGAGGAUCGCAUGAUCUUUCAUUUAAAAUUCCGGUGGUACGGGACGGGCACGCGCGACAUUAGGUAGUUGGCGGGGUAAGGG
RNAcentral lists this ribosomal RNA (259 nucleotides) under uncultured bacterium. RNAcentral's name for it is "partial 16S ribosomal RNA". It matches the Rfam family "Bacterial small subunit ribosomal RNA", at positions 8 to 263 of the family's 1533-position model. The record is from RNAcentral.